GGCCCAAAACUGAGCUGGAGUUUGGUCCUAAGCCAAGCUGAUAACACUCCCUGCUGAAGAUAAGAUGGGCCUGACCCCGCGUAUUCAGGCAGCAAAUAUUUACUGAGUGCCUUUCGGUGCCAGGCUCCAGGCUGGGGAGUCAGAAGUAGGAUGGAUGGAGAGGCAGGGAGAAAGCCGGCUGAGUCCUGCCUUCCCACGGGUGGCCGUGGGGACAGAUGAGCAAAAGGCAGAAAACCAAGGUGCCUCUGGAGAGACCACGGUUGAAGACAAGACCACAGUGGGGGUGAUACCGAGGGCCCUGAAGUGUCCGGAACAGGCCCUCUUCGCUGGAAUCACGGUGCAAUCCACGGGGAAGCGUCGCUGGGCUGCAUGCAGAGGGGUCAGAGAUGAGACUCGUUCACCCUCCCACGCCCCCGUUUGACAGGUGAGGACGCUGAGGCCAGUGAGCGCAGAGUGAGACUCGAACUUGGGACAUCUGGCUGAUUCUUGCGCAGAGAGGUUGUGACCACUCUCCAAGUGGGUGCAGCUGGGAGAAAGAGGCCCUUGGGCGAGCCGGACCAAGCUCACAUUGCCCCUCUAGCUCCUACUUGCAGCCAAGCAGCCUGGAUUCGCCAGGCCUCAGUAUUCCCCUCUGGCAGAUGGGUUGAGCACCCCUUUACCACUCAAUCAUAAAUGUCCCUGCUUGUGGCUUCAACCGCCCUUCCACGUGUCCACCCCAUGUCAUCAGCCUCCACUUAAACCUCUUGGCUUGGCACCUGUCUCGGGGUAACAUCCACGCACCCUGCUGUGACUUUUGAGGGUCUGCAUGGCUGGUCCCUGCCCCCACCCAGCCACGGGCCUCUGCCAGAUCCUCAAACACCACGGCUGCCUCAGGACUCCAGGCCUUAGCCCGUGCCUUGCCUCUUGCCUGCAAUGCCCUUCCCGAAUCCAUCCACGCCCUCAAACCUCACCUAGUUAUUAUCUACUUAGCUUUCAGUCUCAGUCUGAGACAUCAAACUGCUUUCUUUCCUUUUCUUCUUUCAAAAUGUUUCAUUCAAGGACAACAUGCAGACAUUAAAAUACUCAAAUCCUAGGUACACAGUUCUGUAACUUCUCAUAAAGGGAGUAUGCCCAGGUAACCAGCAGCCAGCUCAAGAAACAGGACAUUCCGGCUGGGCUCGGUGGCUCAUUCCUGUAAUCCUAGCAUCUUGGGAAGUCGAGGCAGGAGGAUUGCUUGAGGCCAGGGGGAGGUCAAGUCUAGCCUGGGUACAUAGUAAGAUCCCAUCUCUACCAAAAAAAAAAAAAAGACAGAAAAAGAAACAAGACAUCCCCAUGCCCACCACCUUCAUCGAAGCUCCCUUAUG
Molecule: long non-coding RNA, 1343 nt
Filed under: Piliocolobus tephrosceles (Ugandan red Colobus)
Lineage: Eukaryota; Metazoa; Chordata; Mammalia; Primates; Cercopithecidae
Description: lncRNA (ENSPTEG00000034278.1)
Source: RNAcentral